GCAGGCGGCUCACGCCGCGGUCGGCAUUGAUCUCAUUUGCAUGCAGGGCGCGCCUGGGGCUGUGGCGUAACGUCGUUCUCCCGCCCGCUUGCCGGGGCGCGAUUUACAUCUCAUUUGCAUGCAGCGCGGCGGCGCGGAGCCAUGGCGGCGGCGUACCGGCACGGCGGCAGCGCGCCGCGGGGCAGAGCCGGGGCCCAGCGCGGCGGAGAGAAGAAGUGCUCGUGGGCAUCCUACAUGACCAACUCGCCCACCCUCAUCGUGAUGAUCGGGCUGCCCGCCCGCGGCAAGACCUACGUCUCCAAGAAGCUGACGCGCUACCUCAACUGGAUCGGGGUGCCCACCCGAGUGUUCAAUUUAGGGGUGUAUCGCCGGGAAGCGGUCAAGUCCUACAAAUCCUACGACUUCUUCAGGCACGAUAACAAGGAGGCGAUGGAGAUCCGCAAACGAUGUGCCUUAGUGGCCCUACAGGACGUGAAGGCGUACCUCCUGGAGGAGUGUGGGCAGAUAGCUGUGUUCGAUGCAACCAACACAACUCGGGAAAGACGGGACCUGAUCUUAAAUUUUGCGAAGGAAAAUGCUUUCAAGGUGUUCUUUGUGGAAUCUGUCUGUGACGAUCCGGAGGUCAUCGCUGCCAACAUCCUGGAGGUGAAGGUCUCCAGCCCCGAUUACCCAGAAAGAAACAGGGAGAACGUGAUGGAUGAUUUCCUGAAGAGGAUCGAGUGCUACAAGGUCACGUACCAGCCCCUCGAUCCUGAUGAGUAUGACAAAGAUCUUUCCUUCAUUAAAGUGAUCAAUGUGGGACAGCGGUUCCUAGUGAACAGAGUCCAAGAUUACAUCCAGAGCAAAAUCGUCUAUUACCUGAUGAACAUCCACGUGCAGCCGCGCACCAUCUACCUCUGCCGGCACGGCGAGAGCGAGUAUAACCUCGUUGGCAAGAUUGGUGGGGACUCUGGGCUGUCACCGCGCGGCAAGCAGUUUGCACAGGCGCUGAAGAAGUUCAUCGAGGAGCAGGAGAUUGCGGAGCUGAAGGUGUGGACCAGCCAGCUGAAGCGCACCAUCCAGACAGCGGAGUCGCUGGGGGUCACCUACGAGCAGUGGAAGAUCCUCAACGAGAUUGAUGCUGGGGUGUGCGAAGAAAUGACGUAUGCAGAGAUCGAAGCCAAAUACCCCGACGAGUUUGCCUUGAGGGAUCAGGAGAAAUACCUCUAUCGCUAUCCUGGAGGAGAGUCCUACCAGGACUUGGUUCAGCGCCUGGAGCCAGUAAUUAUGGAGCUGGAGCGGCAGGGCAACGUCCUCGUCAUCUCCCACCAGGCAGUGAUGAGGUGCCUCCUGGCUUACUUUCUGGAUAAGAGUGCAGACGAGCUGCCCUACCUGCGCUGCCCCCUGCACGCCAUCCUCAAGCUCACCCCGGUCGCCUAUGGUUGUAAAGUGGAGACGAUCACCUUGAACGUGGAAGCAGUGAACACCCACCGGGACAAACCUUCCCUGAACUCAAGCCGCCUUCCCACGAGCCAGAGCCCGGGCAGGAUGAGGAGGAGCAGCCUGACGCCGCUGGCCAGCGCGGCCACGGAGCAGCGCCCGCGGCAUCACAGCGUUGGGAGCGGCCCCCCUGACCUGCAGGUUCGAGGUGCAGCUGCUCGGCCCCGGCUGCAAACCACUGCCCAGGUGGUGCCUUGCUCUGCUUGCCCUCCCCUGCCACCCGUGUCACCCAACCAUGGCCGUGGUCCCGGCAGAAAUACCCCGAAAUACCCAAAUGCCACUGGGAAUCGUUCUGUAUUAGGCACCCUUAAAAUAACCGAGGAAAUGCAUGAAAAUCUCUCAGUUAAACUGGAAUUGUGGUGCCAGAGGUUUACAAAACCUGGCCCCACGCAGGCGAGUUUCCAUCAGUAGGGCGGUUCAUUCUGGGUCGUGCUUUCCAACAAGAGCUUGAUUGGAAAGCGUUACAAAUAUCAUCUCUCUCCAAAUUUGAUGGUGCAGCCAAGUGUUGCUCUAGCUGUAGUGCAGUUGGUGGGGAAAAUCCCUGUGCUCGGUGCCCACAUUCCUGUGGGUCCCACCAGCAGCUGGUUGAGCAAAGGUUGGGCCCCUGGUAUUUGGAUGCCGCUUGGUUUUUGCCACCUAGCACUUGGUUUGGUUUGAAACCAUGUGGAUCCCUAUCAGGGUGGAAUGUGAAGCCCCGUUUGCUUCUUUGCAGAUUGAGAAUUGGUUCCCUUUGCUGCGUCCCAUCACAUGAGGUGGAGGGGACGUGGGGGCUCCUGGUUGGGGACCUCGUGCAUUUUGUUCCCCUCGCUGCAGAGUGAGACUUCUCAGUAGAACUGUGGCUCUUUUAUAGGGGAUUUUAUUUUUAGAUAACAAUGGUGAACAGCUUUCAUCUCGCACAUUUCGCAGCUCGGUAUUUUCCAAGCUGUUUGCAGUUGUGCUUCUUGUAGUUGUGAUGUUGUACCAUGAAAAACUUUGAAGCUCAGGGGCAUCCAGAAGCCAAUGCUUUCAGCAUGGGUGGGGAUGGUGAGAGCUGUCCUGGAGCUCUGCCCUGGAUGGAGCCACUCAGUGAGCUCGGGUGCAAGCCUGCAGCGAUCUCCCCACCCUGAACCCCUUGGGUUGCUUCCCUUCCUUCCUCAUUUCCUUCAGUGCUGUUACUGUUGCUUGUAAACUGUCUUUGAAAUGCACUUUGAGCUCUCCUAUGCUGUUUCUUUUUCCUUUGCAGCCUCAAGUGGGAAAUGCUUGCCUAGGCUGGCUGGCCUAGCAGUGUAAGGCUGGGGCUUCACGGCGGCAUCGGAUGGGAGGAGCCCGGCGGGACCCGGUGCCACCAGGGAGCACAGUGAGCGCGGGCAGCAGUGUCCCCACCGCGCUUCCCGCUGCCGUGUCCUGUCCUUGUGAGCACUCAGUGACCGCAGAAAACUUCCUGCAAAGAUAUUUUUUUUGGCUGCUUUUAAUGCGUGUGAGUGUGUGUGUGAGCAGCAGGACGUGGGAGCGAGCUGUCCCCAUGCUUUGUGUGCGCUGCUCGGGGCUGCCUCUGUGCCUCUCCUCCUGUGCUCGCUGAAGCAACUUCUCUUUGGAAGCUGUUCUCAUCAGACCCAGUCCCCCAGGUUUUAUUCAAUCUUUGCCGUCUCUGAGCUCAAGCACAGUUACUCAGUGCUAUUUAAUAAGCAGAAGCACUCCAGGUAUCGCUUGGCUUCCAUGGCUGUUGCUUUGAAUCCCCAGACCUGAGCCUCUUGCUUUGCUUUGGGGAGGGUUUUGCACGUGCUGUGACAGAAGGCAUUCAUAGGAUUCCCAGUGCUACGAGAUGUCCCAUCUCAGGGGACAAGGACAUGGAUGUGCCCGUUGCCAUCCGAGAGCAGCCAAGCUGCUUUUGGGCUCACAUCCUGCUUUGGUUUUGCACCUGCUGCACGCCUCGCCCUGUCCUUUCUCCUGGGCUUCAUGGAUGCUUUUCUCUUGCAGGAGAAAUGCCUCACUCUGCACUGCACAGCACUGUUUUCUUCCUGCAUUCCAUGCUUACUGUCCUGUUCCCUUUACCUUAGCCAAAACCUCUCACGAUCAGCUUGGGUGUUUUGUACUCACGCACAAGUGAUGCAUCAGAGAAUCGUGGAUUCACUGACCAAAGCUGAGUAAUGCUAAUUCUGCAGAACAUUUCCUAUUGCUCGAGAUAAUUUUGUUGGCAGAAGGUAGUGAGGGGCCUGGGCUGUGGGUGAGGUGAGGAGCAGCAGCGGGGCCACGUGAGUGUGGUGUGUGAUAUUUUUUUUAGUUCAUUGUCUCUUGUUCCAAGUUUUAGACCCACAGCACAUUUCUGUACUCACAUAUGAGUAAGCUGUGAACGUUGCUGAUGUAAUGCUGCCUUUUGUGGAGCUGUUUUAGUAUUUAGGGCACGGGUGGUGCACUCCUUCAGUGCUGGUUGCCUCUUAUUGGGGUGCCCUGCCCAAAUGUGGGGCAACAACACCCUGAAUUUUCACUUUUCUCAUAUGAGUUUUUUUGCCAAACUGCAUUUUCCCUCACUCCUAAUGUUGCCCUUGUAAUUAGGGCAAAACUAUCAGGUUUGCAGCCCCGAGAUAAGGUGAAACAAUGAGUGCUUGGGGUUGAGCAGGAGGUUGUUACAGAUCUGCUCCGUCCGAUGACUCCAGGAUCUGUGACUCUGGGACCCAGGCUGUGUGUGUUAAGGGUGUAAAUCAGUGCCCACCCACAGGUACCUGAGCCCCGCACACUCUGCCAGUGCUCAGCAGGCUGAGGCUUCACUGGGGAUUUGUGUUGUAAAUGCUCCCAGACCUUUAAUAUCUGAAGUUGAGAUGAGAGGGCCACAGCAGAGGCCCCAAACCUUUAGGAUGUACAAUCUGCAGAAGUUAUGUGUUGAUCUCAAGCAGUUACACUCCAGAGGGAUGAAAUUCAGUGGGUAAGAAGCUGAGUUUUCUUGGUUUUACUCCUUAGGUGGUUCCCACUGAGCAAUCGUCCUUGUUACCGAAUGUUACGGUGCUUAGAAAUAAGCCAGGGGAAAUUAUUUAUUUAAAAAAAAAAAAAAAAAAGGGAAGGAGAAACAAAAAGUUGAAGGAAGAGUUCUCUAGGCUGCAUAGCACGGCGAUGCUCGCUGCCUGCAGUGAUCCUCCAACGCACAAAGAUGCUGGGAUGGGCUGGCUGCAAACCUGCAGCCCCCGAGCCACCAGCAGAUGCCUACUGUGAGCUGCUCACGCACAACGUGCUGUAAUGACUGUACACAGGGAUAAGGAGUUAGGCUCCAUCGAGGAGCUCGUGGUUUUAAUGAGGUAUAGCUGUUGUUGUUUUUUUUUUUUUCCCUGCCAGAAUUCACGACUGUAGCUGAUGAGUGUUGGUAGUUGUCGGUUUUUAAUCACUGCUUCAUGUCUGCUCUGCAGGGGUGGGUGGCUGUGGGUUCCUGUGCUCCCCAAGCAAUGCUGCAGCAGCUGCACUAGGAUGGAGCCAUCUGCAGCGGUCAUACUCUGCCCCUCAGUGCUUUAAGCCAAAGCAUAGCUUCUCCUCCUGCACCUUAACAUGUAAAAGCUGUACAUACAUGUGUCUGUAAAGCAGAGCAGUGGCAAAUUUGUGGUGACCGUGGGCUCAUUGCCAUGCAGGUGAAUGGGAGGUGACAGCGUGGGUGUUGCAUGUCCCAGGUGAGGCUCUGCCUGUGCCAGGUGCUUCCUUGAAACCACCUGACUGCCCUGGCACCGCUCGUGCAAACAGCCCAGGAUAAAUAAGGGUUGCACAAUUUACCUGAAUUUGGGAUUAGCGGGGGCUUGCACUGCUGGUCACACAGAGCCGUGGUGUUGGGCUGCAUUCAAAGCACUCCAAUAGUUCACAAAGUGCUGAAUGUCCAGUGGUGGACUUGUCUGCUGCGUGAGCGUUGCACCAACACCAGAUUUGACUCCUGUAUUUCCCUGACUUCUCUUUUCAUCCUCUUCCCAUGUCAGAGGUGCCCUGUGCUGGUCUCAGGGCGCUGCUCUGCGUUGCUGCGUGCUGCUUGCAAACUGCAUCCGUGUGCUGUGCGUGGGGAGGGUGAUGUUCCGUGUUUCCCAGUGUUCUGCUGUGUUACUGCUUGCUAAUGAUCAUUUUCUAGGUUUUUAAAAAAAAAAAAAGCAGCAAUGUAUGCAGAGUUGUUGGGCUGUGUCGUGUACUCUUCGCACUUACGCAUAAAUAUCCCAUGAGCGUUUAUUUACAGUACAGAGGUUUUAAAAAUAAAAUCUUGUUUCCUCUCA
This is an RNA transcript of Numida meleagris (helmeted guineafowl), 5690 nucleotides long. It is a transcript of the gene named 6-phosphofructo-2-kinase/fructose-2,6-biphosphatase 2, with no coding region annotated. NCBI's taxonomy places the organism in Eukaryota, Metazoa, Chordata, Aves, Galliformes, Numididae. The record is from RefSeq and is a predicted model, not a curated record. The transcript is spliced from 15 exons.